GGAUUAGAUACCCUGGUAGUCCACGCUGUAAACGAUGAUCACUCGAUGUACACGCUAGUCGUGUGUGUCUAAGCGAAAGCAUUAAGUGAUCCACCUGGGAAGUACGCUCGCAAGAGUGAAACUCAAAGGAAUUGACGGGAGUCCGCACAAGCGGUGGAGCAUGUGGUUUAAUUCGAUGAUACGCGAGGAACCUUACCUGGGCUCGAAUGUCUCUGCUACCUCGAGAAAUCGAGGGUUCCUUCGGGACAGAGUACAAGGUGCUGCAUGGCUGUCGUCAGCUCGUGCCG
Molecule: ribosomal RNA, 287 nt
Filed under: uncultured bacterium
Lineage: Bacteria
Description: partial 16S ribosomal RNA
Rfam family: Bacterial small subunit ribosomal RNA
Source: RNAcentral